Molecule: ribosomal RNA, 696 nt
Filed under: uncultured bacterium
Lineage: Bacteria
Also listed under: 1 other name
Description: bacterial SSU rRNA
Rfam family: Bacterial small subunit ribosomal RNA
Source: RNAcentral
AACGCUAGCUACAGGCUUAACACAUGCAAGUCGAGGGGAAACGACAUCGAAAGCUUGCUUUUGAUGGGCGUCGACCGGCGCACGGGUGAGUAACGCGUAUCCAACCUGCCCACCACUUGGGGAUAACCUUGCGAAAGUAAGACUAAUACCCAAUGAUAUCUCUAGAAGACAUCUGAAAGAGAUUAAAGAUUUAUCGGUGAUGGAUGGGGAUGCGUCUGAUUAGCUUGUUGGCGGGGUAACGGCCCACCAAGGCAACGAUCAGUAGGGGUUCUGAGAGGAAGGUCCCCCACAUUGGAACUGAGACACGGUCCAAACUCCUACGGGAGGCAGCAGUGAGGAAUAUUGGUCAAUGGACGAGAGUCUGAACCAGCCAAGUAGCGUGCAGGAAGACGGCCCUAUGGGUUGUAAACUGCUUUUAUAAGGGAAUAAAGUGAGUCUCGUGAGACUUUUUGCAUGUACCUUAUGAAUAAGGACCGGCUAAUUCCGUGCCAGCAGCCGCGGUAAUACGGAAGGUCCGGGCGUUAUCCGGAUUUAUUGGGUUUAAAGGGAGCGUAGGCCGGAGAUUAAGCGUGUUGUGAAAUGUAGAUGCUCAACAUCUGCACUGCAGCGCGAACUGGUUUCCUUGAGUACGCACAAAGUGGGCGGAAUUCGUGGUGUAGCGGUGAAAUGCUUAGAUAUCACGAAGAACUCCGAUUG